UGCACUAUUUGCUGCACAGUUUUCAUAACUACAUAUUGGAAAACCAAUCAAAAUUUGAUAAAAUUUAGUUGAAGAAUUGAACGUCCACCGAUAUUUCGCUAUGAAAUUUGGGAAUAAAAUAGAAUCUUUUAACUUGUUCAUAGUUCUAAAUUCCAAAAGCAUUGUUACAGCGUUAGGGUUUUUCUGCCCACCAUAUAUUUCUUACUCAGCGCCAAAUCGAUCAAGCAACAAUUUACCGGCGAUCGGAAUGGCUAGUCCGGUUGUGCAAUACAAUGACGAAACAUGUGGAACUUUUUUAGUCGAAGGAACCAGGGAAGGUGAAAAUGUAUGUUUGCGGCGUUGUACCAUAUGGGCCAUGCCCGGCCCGUGCCUAUGUCGUCUGCAACAUUCUCUACAGGUAUCUGAAAGUCCGCAAUUUCACUGAUAUUGUUGAUAAUGUAGUUUAAUUCGUUGGACUAAAGAGAGUGGGGAAAAUGAUGAAUGAUGAUCCGGUCUAUUGAGUCGGAAAUUUCUACGAGACAUGGAUGAUCUCACCGGCUCUUCGCCGUGUGGAACAGAUUAUUGAUUGCUAGUAUAAUGACUAAUUGCUGUGGGUACGCGAUUGACAGAGAUGUUAAUUCUCGUUGAUAGUUUUCCGGAGUAUGGUGGUUGAUUAUCUGCUGGACGGGAAUUAGAAAGAAAAGCCAAAUCCUGCUGAUUUUGCCUUGGGUAAGGCUGCAAAGAAUGAUGUACCAAGUUGGAAGAAUGGAUUGGCAUAUUGAGUGCGGUGCAAUGAGCACACACUAUCUAACACAUUCCUUUGAUGUACAUUGUGGUGGGAUUGACGUGAUUUUUCCUCACCAUAAGGAGAUGAUUUUUCACUGUACAGGAAGAUACUCGAUUGUACCAUCCCCUUGGAUUGAGGGUCCUUGUCAUCAUCAACAAUACUAAAUGGGGUGGCUGCAUCUGUUGUUAGCGAUAAGGCCAUGUGUUGGAAACAAACCUUGCUGAUGAUUUGCGCACGUCUACAAUUUUAAAAGAUGCGCUUAAGCUUAUUAAUAAUUAUGUGAUAAGCCCACAAGAGUAUGCUUUGUCCUAAACUAAGAUUGAAAAAGAAGUGAAGGCAGUGCUGGAUGUCCUUGGAUUGCUUGUCUCAUGCUUGCGGCUUUGCAGCAGUUGAAAGAGGUCUGUUAUGUUUUCAAUCCACACUUUUAAGUUUGUGAUCUGUGUUCUGUGAAACUCUUUAAACAUUAUGAGGACAAAUUAAGUUAUUGUUUUAUUAAGAUCCUGCCGCUGGAAAGAAAUCUAGACAAGAGUUACACUGGAAAAACAGAAAAAUAUGCAUAAAUAUUAUUAACAGAUGAGGCACUAGUGGAGUAAGAGCUACUGCCAACAUGGAGUGGUAAUUUUUUGAACCCUCACUAGGAUAUCCGAUGGAAUAAUGUGACACAUAGGGGGUGAUCCUGGUAAUAUAUUGAGCGCUCAAAAAGUUACAUGAGAUGGACUCCAUUCAGAGGUAUCCAAAUGACAAAUUGCAAUUGCUUCCACUCUAUCACCAUCUUCACCCUGAAUGAAGCCUUUGAAUACCUUGUUCUUGAUAAUUGUGUAAUGAUAGUUGAAAAUCGCAUAAGUAUAAGUCAUUGUACAACAUUCCACAAUAUUAGGAGCUUCAACUUUUUGCGGAGCAUCCAAAAUAGUAUACCUUUUUGGAGGGGAGUUGAGCUUGAAACAUGAGUUGUGGACAUAGCUUUGAUUUGGGUAUUUCCUCGAAUGAUUUCUUGCUUAAAAUCAAGUAUUGCCUGUGAGGAUGUGGCACAGUGCAGCUUUGUGUCUCCCUUUAUAGGUGGAGCUUCACAUUCUCUCAAUGGCAUCUUCGAUGGCUUUAACUUGUAGAGACCAUUGAAGUCAAGUAUUGAAGCUUGUCAAAAUUCUUAUCUGAGCUCUUUUAUGAUUAUUCUUGCUUUGUUAUAGCUGUUCUGCCUCUUAAGAGAAGGUUAUCUGGUAAAUUAUGUUUUAUAGCUCAUUGCUUCUGGAUUUGAAUCCAAAAAUCCACAUGUAACUUAAUGUUGGACUCAUUGCAAUGCAUGACUGUUAUUUCUUCAAUUGAAUGCUACUAUUUGUGUGUUGGUCGUUCACAAUUAUCAUUAGCAAUAGAUCUAUUACAUCUUGUAAAUUUAGUUUGAAUUGGAAUCGAAAUAUGAAACAAGCGAUAUUCAUGAUGGUGUCUCGACAUAGUCAUGUCUAUUAGUGCAAUGCUUUCUUCUUGCAUUUAGUGAUAAGUUCUUUAAAUAAGACUACGAAUCAACUGUGGAAGUUCCAUUGCCAGAAAAUCUUAUUAUUUUAUUUGGGUCUCACCACAGGAAAGGAAGCUAAAUAAGAGGGGUACACUGAAACAACACAGAAAAGAUACAUGAAAAUAUAACUAGUAAACAUACAUGCAUCAGCAGGUAAUAAUAAAACAGUAGCGAACAAAA
Long non-coding RNA from Solanum lycopersicum (tomato), 2453 nucleotides. RefSeq lists it as uncharacterized. The record is from RefSeq and is a predicted model, not a curated record. Lineage: Eukaryota; Viridiplantae; Streptophyta; Magnoliopsida; Solanales; Solanaceae.